RNAcentral lists this ribosomal RNA (265 nucleotides) under uncultured prokaryote. RNAcentral describes it as "partial 16S ribosomal RNA". It matches the Rfam family "Bacterial small subunit ribosomal RNA", at positions 524 to 788 of the family's 1533-position model. The record is from RNAcentral.
UACGUAGGGUGCGAGCGUUGUCCGGAUUUAUUGGGCGUAAAGGGAGCGCAGGCGGUGACUUAAGUCUGAUGUGAAAGCCCAUGGCUCAACCGUUGAAGGUCAUUGGAAACUGGGUCACUUGAAUAUAGAAGAGGAAAGUGGAAUUCCAUGUGUAGCGGUGAAAUGCGUAGAUAUUAGGAGGAACACCAGUAGCGAAGGCGGCUCUCUGGACUGUAACUGACGCUGAGGCACGAAAGCGUGGGGAGCAAACAGGAUUAGAUACCCU